UCCUACUUCUUUACGGGGGCAGCAGUAGGGAAUCUUCCGCAAUGGACGAAAGUCUGACGGAGCAACGCCGCGUGAGUGAUGAAGGUUUUCGGAUCGUAAAGCUCUGUUGCCAGGGAAGAAUGCUUGGGAGAGUAACUGCUCCCAAGGUGACGGUACCUGAGAAGAAAGCCCCGGCUAACUACGUGCCAGCAGCCGCGGUAAUACGUAGGGGGCAAGCGUUGUCCGGAAUUAUUGGGCGUAAAGCGCGCGCAGGCGGCCUUGUAAGUCUGUUGUUUAAACUUGGGCUCAACCCCAAGUCGCAAUGGAAACUGCAAAGCUUGAGUACAGAAGAGGAAAGUGGAAUUCCACGUGUAGCGGUGAAAUGCGUAGAGAUGUGGAGGAACACCAGUGGCGAAGGCGACUUUCUGGGCUGUAACUGACGCUGAGCGCGUAGCUACCCUC
Molecule: ribosomal RNA, 441 nt
Filed under: Paenibacillus sp.
Lineage: Bacteria; Bacillati; Bacillota; Bacilli; Caryophanales; Paenibacillaceae
Description: bacterial SSU rRNA
Rfam family: Bacterial small subunit ribosomal RNA
Source: RNAcentral